Long non-coding RNA from Nicotiana tabacum (common tobacco), 829 nucleotides. RefSeq lists it as uncharacterized. The record is from RefSeq and is a predicted model, not a curated record. Lineage: Eukaryota; Viridiplantae; Streptophyta; Magnoliopsida; Solanales; Solanaceae.
GAUCCCUUCUAAAAAAAAGAGCAACGGCGGAUUCCCCAUUUUUAACCUAAGGACCCCUGGACCUUCUUCUUUUUCCCAUUUUCAGCAGCCAACGCCGAAACUCUCCAGCCGCUGCUGCUUCUUCAGCACACCACCAAACCAGCCGUUGCUUCUUCUUCUUCAACCCUUACACAUGUAGACCCCCAAAAAACUUGAAAAAAACCAACGCCGUUCCCUCCCCUUCUUCUUCUCCAUUUUCACUUUUACUCUCAUACACACUCUUCCUUAACACACACACGCUGAAACCUUUAGUAACAAGUGGAAUUAUAGAAUCUAGAGCUGAAAUUCGAAAGUGACGAAGCUAAUUUUCAGUCUCGAAUUUUCAUUUUACUUUUCGCAUUUUUCUGGGGAUUUAAGAGCUCGAUGGAGCCGUUAAAGAUUAUUUCGAAGUUGAGAGAUUUGCUGCUGCUUUUAUUCGAAUCUGCUACUUUCUGCUCUUGCUAAGUUCAUUUCUCAUCUAGCCUUUUAUUUGACAUUUUGGAAUUAAUCUCUGCACAAUCAGAGGCACAUGUUUGUCUUGUGGCUUAGUUCGGCGCAACGACAUGGUUGAUACGAAGACUGGGGUGAGCUGCAUUUCUCGAGACGACCCACAACCAACAGAGUCUCCUUUAGAGUAGUGUAUUUUAUUUCCUUUACUGUUUAAUUUGUAUUUCAGAUGGUUAGUGUAUUACAUUGUUUUCAUGAAAUUUCUCAUGCACUUGUGACACCGGGUUCUGAGAUGACUAAGGGAUUAUUCAGUAUUUAAGUUUGUUAAAGACAUCAUUAUUUAUUCAGUGAAAUUCUUUGUUAA